RNAcentral lists this ribosomal RNA (459 nucleotides) under uncultured bacterium. RNAcentral's name for it is "partial 16S ribosomal RNA". It matches the Rfam family "Bacterial small subunit ribosomal RNA", at positions 338 to 795 of the family's 1533-position model. The record is from RNAcentral.
CCUACGGUGGGCAGCAGUGAGGAAUAUUGGUCAAUGGUCGGGAGACUGAACCAGCCAAGCCGCGUGAGGGAGGAAGGUACAGAGUAUCGUAAACCUCUUUUGUCAGGGAACAAAGACUGGGACGCGUCCCCGGAUGAGUGUACCUGAAGAAAAAGCAUCGGCUAACUCCGUGACAGCAGCCGAGGUAAUACGGAGGAUGCGAGCGUUAUCCGGUUUUAUUGGGUUUAAAGGGUGCGCAGGCGGGGUUUUAAGUCAGCGGUCAAAGCCCGGGGCUCAACCCCGGCCCGCCGUUGAAACUGGCAGUCUCGAGUUGGAGAGAGGUAUGCGGAAUGCGCGGUGUAGCGGUGAAAUGCAUAGAUAGCGCGCAGAACUCCGAUUGCGAAGGCAGCAUGCCGGCUCCACACUGACGCUGAGGCACGAAAGCGUGGGUAUCGAACAGGAUUAGAUACCCCAGUAGUC